CUGAAGUUGAGUUGGAUGCUCAACCCAACUGAGCCACCCAUGCACCCCACGAAACCCAACUCUGCCCAUCUGAGACCAUGAUCUACUCUGGCUGCAGCUCCUGCUGCCAGCCUUUGUGCUACAGGACCACCUUCUGUUGGACCAGUGGCUGCAGACAAACUGUUGCAGGGCCAGCUGCAGUGGACAAACCCACAGUGGGGCCAGCUGCUAUGGAGCCAGCUGCUGCCAGCCUUGUUGCCACCCAAUCUGCUGCAACACCACCUUCUAUAGGACCUCCUGCUGUCACAUAUGCUGUGUGUCCAAACCUACUGCCAGCCUUCCUGCUGCUGAUUGCUUUGCCAAGAGGCACCAUCUGCAUAAAACACCAAUUUGUCAUUUGGGAAACAAAGUCACUGCCAGUAUUGCUGAAAGCCUGCGCACAGUCAACAACAUUACAGGCUUGUGAAUCACCUUGAGGAAGUGUGGACCAUUUCUAGCUGCGUCUCAUCUUCCUUCAUCUUUGGAUCAUGUGCCAGCUUCAUGCAUACUGAUAUGGAGUCAUGACCUCUGCCUUGACUCCACAGUCAAGAUUGUCACCCUCUCCCUUUCAAUAACAUAGAGAAAGAAAUUCUAGUGACUCACACAUAGGUGUCUACAACUACUCAAAGUCUUCAAAUCAUGUUUCCUUUUUCAGUGUACUCAUGGUUCUUAUAUCCUUCUUUCUUCUUCUCGUGAUCCAUGUAAAUGUCUCCUGAGACACAGGGAGUCUCACCUUUAUUUCUCAAUAAAGGCUGUACCAUUCGCGUCCCAUAUGAUGUUCAUUUCUUUGUACAGUGUUCGCAAUGUAGGUAUUUGUACACAGGAUACAUACCAAAUGCAGUACCCAUUUGGAGCCUCAUACAGUGUCUCACAAAUUAUUAUCUUCAUUUUCAUACGAAUAAACUUCCAGUGGCCUGUCUUAAGCUGAUAUGCACAGACUCAACCCAGACUGUGUCUCCUGCCCUUGAUGAAGCGCACAUAUGCUCAUACUCUCCAGAUGAGUUAGAAAGCACCCUGAGUCUCAAGAGUAGCAAGAUGUUCAUUUGAGUGUCUUCUUUGGCCAAGGAAGUAAUAUUCUCUUGUGUAUGCAAGUGACAUCUGGGAAUAACUUGUGGAUAUCAAUGUCCAACAAUUCAGCUGACAGUAGCCACAUGUGGGAGCAGCAGGACCUGCCCUUUGAAGCUCUUGUGAACGUAGGAGUUUUGUUGUUUAGACUCCUAGCUCCUCAGCACUCCUCUGCAUCAGACACAGGUGAGCAUGCAGUGUUCCCACAAGAAACACAUGGAGCUGACCACAUUGUAUUUGGUUCUUGAGAAUCACAUUCUUGCUUGGCUUCCUGGUCCUCAGGGCAUAUUAGCAGAGUAAAAAAGAAUCAGGUAGUUUUGCCAAACCUGUUUAUCUCCCCAACUGUAAGGUGGUUUGUCAUCAUGAUCAAAGUGUUACCAAAGCAAUUAAAGAAGAAUGAUGUAAGGGACUGAGAGAUCAUGCAAUGGUCAUGUAUGACUUUGAGUAAUUCAUAACUUCUGAACCAUCAAAGGCAAAGGAACUCCCUCCAGAUUUUGUGAAGGAACUGUGAAUAACAGAGGGGGAAAAAAUGUUGCCUGCUCUGUGGGGGUGAGGACAAUGUGAGGAA
This is a long non-coding RNA of Herpailurus yagouaroundi (jaguarundi), 1651 nucleotides long. RefSeq lists it as uncharacterized. The record is from RefSeq and is a predicted model, not a curated record. Lineage: Eukaryota; Metazoa; Chordata; Mammalia; Carnivora; Felidae. The transcript is spliced from 2 exons.